RNAcentral lists this ribosomal RNA (533 nucleotides) under uncultured bacterium. RNAcentral describes it as "partial 16S ribosomal RNA". It matches the Rfam family "Bacterial small subunit ribosomal RNA", at positions 355 to 878 of the family's 1533-position model. The record is from RNAcentral.
UGGGGAAUAUUGGACAAUGGGCGCAAGCCUGAUCCAGCAAUGCCGUGUGUGUGAAGAAGGCCUUCGGGUUGUAAAGCACUUUUAUCAGGAGCGAAACGCUGUCGGCUAAUACCCGGCGGAACUGACGGUACCUGUGGAAUAAGCACCGGCUAACUUCGUGCCAGCAGCCGCGGUAAUACGAAGGGUGCAAGCGUUAAUCGGAAUUACUGGGCGUAAAGCGUGCGUAGGCGGUUUCUUAAGUCUGCUGUGAAAUCCCCGGGCUCAACCUGGGAAUGGCAGUGGAUACUGGGAGGCUAGAGUGUGUCAGAGGGUGGUGGAAUUCCCGGUGUAGCGGCGAAAUGCGUAGAGAUCGGGAGGAACAUCAGUGGCGAAGGCGGCCACCUGGGACAACACUGACGCUGAGGCACGAAAGCGUGGGGAGCAAACAGGAUUAGAUACCCUGGUAGUCCACGCCCUAAAGCGAUGCGAACUGGAUGUUGGUCUCAACUCGGAGAUCAGUGUCGAAGCUAACGCGUGAAGUUGACCGCCUGGGG